UUUACAGCCCCCAAGUUUUGGCUAAAUUAAUUAAUUUCCCUAAAAUAAAUCCUUUGUGCUAAUUUAUUAAAUAGAGGUAGAUUUGUGAAAAUUAAUUUGAUGAGAAAAUUGUUUUGACCGAUUCAGAGGUCACGCACACACAAAUUGAAUGCAGUAAUCCAAUUGCAUAAAUACUUUUGGAAUACCAAACAUUUGUAUCGGAUUGUUUCUUAGUUGUCAAUAGCAGCUUAGAAUUUUCGUUUUAAUCGGAAAUGGGUAGGCGCCCGGUUAGAAACAGGGAGGAGUCAGCGUUGACGAGAGGAGUAACUGCUGCGUUUUCGUUCGUUAAAUUUGCAGAGUUCGAGAUUCUGUUCCUUCUUUUCUUCAUUAUCGCUUUCAUCGUCUUCAAAGAUCUCACGUCAAGGCCUGAAUAUAAUCAGAUCCUCGUCAAAAAGCCGGGUGGAAUUGAUUUGUGGCCAUACUAGCUGCAGUCAGCUGCUUGAUAUAUAUAUGGGUUGGAUUGAUGUUUUAUGUAUUAGUUUAGAGUAAUGUCAUGCAUACUCACGGAUCUUAUUAACCAUCUUACUAACCUUUGUUAAAAUUACAUAUGAUACCCGUACUAUGCUUGUGGUAUCUGUACUAUGCUUUAUAUUUACAAAAGGUUAGUACGAUGGUUAAUACACUCGUAAGUACGCAUAGUAUUAUUCAUUAUUUUAAUAGGGAGGGUGGGUAAUUAAUUAAGAAAUUUUUUGUUGCAUGUUUAUAGAACUUUUUUAGUUGUUCCAAAUGUAUUGUGGGUGAACUUCUGAGAACACGAAAAGGGUUUCGAGGUCAUCUUGUAGUGCUUGUGAUUUGGUUUAAUUUUAUUAAUAUGAGGAGUGAAUCAUUUGGGGAGUAUGAUAUCACUAUGUCAAGCAAUUAUUUAUUAUGUAUGUCCCUAUAAUUAGUUAAAGAAAUAUUAUCAAUUACUUGGAUUUA
Long non-coding RNA from Pistacia vera, 957 nucleotides. RefSeq lists it as uncharacterized. The record is from RefSeq and is a predicted model, not a curated record. The transcript has 2 exons. NCBI's taxonomy places the organism in Eukaryota, Viridiplantae, Streptophyta, Magnoliopsida, Sapindales, Anacardiaceae.